CUGCAGUGGUUACUAUCUUAUGACACUUUUGGAUUAAGCUAUGAAAAGAAAUGCAGUCUUUGAGCGAC
Molecule: small nucleolar RNA, 68 nt
Organism: Gallus gallus (chicken)
Lineage: Eukaryota; Metazoa; Chordata; Aves; Galliformes; Phasianidae
Gene: SNORD58
Rfam family: Small nucleolar RNA SNORD58
About the family: snoRNA U58 is found in introns 1, 3 and 6 of the ribosomal protein RPL17 gene in humans. U58 is a member of the C/D class of snoRNA which contain C (UGAUGA) and D (CUGA) box motifs.
Source: Ensembl